GUCCAGGGGCGGGAAUCGAACCCACAGUGGACAAGGCACCUGCCCGGUAAGCAGAAGGGUGUGGGUUCGAUUCCCGCCCCUGGACA
Molecule: transfer RNA, 86 nt
Filed under: Cordylochernes scorpioides
Lineage: Eukaryota; Metazoa; Arthropoda; Arachnida; Pseudoscorpiones; Chernetidae
Description: tRNA-Thr
Source: RNAcentral